AACCACUUAAUUAUCCUUAUACUUAUUUAUACUUGCAGUUGCAAUUGCAAUUGUAAUUGUAAUUGUUGAUUUUUCCCUCCCGGCGACCGCGACCGACCCCGUUAUCAUCUUAUUAUUUAUUGUAUGUAUAUGGGCUGCUAACGCCCGCAAUAAUGAAUGGGUUCGGGUUCUAUCUAUCUAUCUAUCUAACUAUACCUCCCCAGUGCCUCAUACAUACAAACAUCAAACAUACAUCUAUGCAGGAGUGGCCCCGUCUUCCUUUUUUUUUUCUUUUACUUUUUCUCUCUUUUUUCCCUUCUUUUAGACCACUCAGUCCCCC
RNAcentral lists this small RNA (319 nucleotides) under Histoplasma capsulatum var. duboisii H88. RNAcentral's name for it is "Histoplasma capsulatum H88 hypothetical RNA". The record is from RNAcentral. Lineage: Eukaryota; Fungi; Ascomycota; Eurotiomycetes; Onygenales; Ajellomycetaceae.